This 253-nucleotide ribosomal RNA is filed under the name uncultured bacterium. RNAcentral's name for it is "partial 16S ribosomal RNA". It matches the Rfam family "Bacterial small subunit ribosomal RNA", at positions 524 to 776 of the family's 1533-position model. The record is from RNAcentral.
UACGAAGGGGGCUAGCGUUGUUCGGAAUUACUGGGCGUAAAGGGCGCGCAGGCGGUCCUUCAAGUCAGGCGUGAAAGCCCCGGGCUCAACCUGGGAAUAGCGCUUGAGACUGAGGGACUUGAGUUCGGGAGAGGAGAGCGGAAUUCCCAGUGUAGAGGUGAAAUUCGUAGAUAUUGGGAAGAACACCGGUGGCGAAGGCGGCUCUCUGGCCUGUUCUUGACGCUGAGGCGCGAAAGCUAGGGUAGCAAACGGG